Molecule: ribosomal RNA, 937 nt
Filed under: uncultured Bacillota bacterium
Lineage: Bacteria; Bacillati; Bacillota
Description: bacterial SSU rRNA
Rfam family: Bacterial small subunit ribosomal RNA
Source: RNAcentral
UGGAUCCAGACUUUGAUUAUGGCUCAGGACGAACGCUGGCGGCAUGCCUAAUACAUGCAAGUCGAGCGAACAGAAGAGGUGCUUGCACUUCUUUCUGUUAGCGGCGGAUGGGUGAGUAACACGUGGGCAACCUGCCCUACAGUUGGGGAUAACUCCGGGAAACCGGGGCUAAUACCGAAUGACUAAUUGAAACGCAUGUUUCAAUUAUAAAAGACGGCUUCGGCUAUCGCUGUAGGAUGGGCCCGCGGCGCAUUAGCUAGUUGGUGGGGUAAUGGCCUACCAAGGCAACGAUGCGUAGCCGACCUGAGAGGGUGAUCGGCCACACUGGGACUGAGACACGGCCCAGACUCCUACGGGAGGCAGCGGUAGGGAAUCUUCCACAAUGGACGAAAGUCUGAUGGAGCAAUGCCGCGUGAGUGAUGAAGGUUUUCGGAUCGUAAAACUCUGUUGCGAGGGAAGAACAAGUACGAGAGUAACUGCUCGUACCUUGACGGUACCUCGUUAGAAUGCCACGGCUAACUACGUGCCAGCAGCCGCGGUAAUACGUAGGUGGCAAGCGUUGUCCGGAAUUAUUGGGCGUAAAGCGCGCGCAGGCGGCCUUUUAAGUCUGAUGUGAAAGCCCACGGCUUAACCGUGGAAGGUCAUUGGAAACUGGAAGGCUUGAGGAUAGAAGAGGAAAGUGGAAUUCCACGUGUAGCGGUGAAAUGCGUAGAGAUGUGGAGGAACACCAGUGGCGAAGGCGACUUUCUGGUCUAUAACUGACGCUGAGGCGCGAAAGCAUGGGGAGCAAACAGGAUUAGAUGCCCUGGUAGUCCAUGCCGUAAACGAUGAGUGCUAAGUGUUAGGGGGUUUCCGCCCCUUAGUGCUGCAGCAAACGCAUUAAGCACUCCGCCUGGGGAGUACGGCCGCAAGGCUGCAACUAAAGGGAAUUGACGGA